RNAcentral lists this long non-coding RNA (290 nucleotides) under Elaeis guineensis (African oil palm). RNAcentral's name for it is "long non-coding RNA (EGUI_LNC003973)". Lineage: Eukaryota; Viridiplantae; Streptophyta; Magnoliopsida; Arecales; Arecaceae. The record is from RNAcentral.
GUGGGUUGUAUGAAGUUGGCUAAUCGGUGGACAUCCAUAGCAGGAUGGAUGAAAUGAUCUCUAAGAAACUCGAUCGACUACUGCAAGUCGGUUACACCAUCUCUUCCCCAUCUACAUAAGUAUAAGAUGCUUGUUUGACCUGUGCGAGUCCUGCCCACUCUAUGGGUGAUUGUCUAGCUGCAUAUUGAUUUUUUGAGCUUGUUCGGAAGCAAGCCCACCAAGCCCAAACCUAUAAUGCUUCUAAGUCAAUAAACAUUCUUUAUUCGAAUACCUACAAUCCCAACUGGAGG